This 805-nucleotide ribosomal RNA is filed under the name uncultured bacterium. RNAcentral describes it as "bacterial SSU rRNA". It matches the Rfam family "Bacterial small subunit ribosomal RNA", at positions 8 to 813 of the family's 1533-position model. The record is from RNAcentral.
AGAGUUUGAUCCUGGCUCAGGAUGAACGCUGGCGGCGUGCCUAACACAUGCAAGUCGAGCGAAGCGAUUUAGCGGAAGUUUUCGGAUGGAAGUUAAAUUGACUGAGCGGCGGACGGGUGAGUAACGCGUGGGUAACCUGCCUCAUACAGGGGGAUAACAGUUAGAAAUGACUGCUAAUACCGCAUAAGCGCACAGCAUCGCAUGAUGCCGUGUGAAAAACUCCGGUGGUAUGAGAUGGACCCGCGUCUGAUUAGCUAGUUGGUGAGGUAACGGCUCACCAAGGCGACGAUCAGUAGCCGACCUGAGAGGGUGAUCGGCCACAUUGGGACUGAGACACGGCCCAAACUCCUACGGGAGGCAGCAGUGGGGAAUAUUGCACAAUGGGGGAAACCCUGAUGCAGCAACGCCGCGUGAGUGAAGAAGUAUUUCGGUAUGUAAAGCUCUAUCAGCAGGGAAGAAAAUGACGGUACCUGACUAAGAAGCCCCGGCUAACUACGUGCCAGCAGCCGCGGUAAUACGUAGGGGGCAAGCGUUAUCCGGAUUUACUGGGUGUAAAGGGUGCGUAGGCGGAUUGGCAAGUCAGAAGUGAAAGGCGGGGGCUCAACCCCUGGACUGCAUUGGAAACUGUUAGUCUUGAGUGCCGGAGAGGUAAGCGGAAUUCCUAGUGUAGCGGUGAAAUGCGUAGAUAUUAGGAGGAACACCAGUGGCGAAGGCGGCUUACUGGACGGUAACUGACGUUGAGGCUCGAAAGCGUGGGGAGCAAACAGAAUUAGAUACCCUGGUAGUCCACGCCGUAAACGAUGAA